UACGAGGGGGGCAAGCGUUGUUCGGAAUUAUUGGGCGUAAAGGGCGCGUAGGCGGUCGGAUAAGUCUUGUGUGAAAUCUUCGGGCUCAACUCGAAGUCUGCAUGAGAAACUAUCCGGCUUGAGUGUGGGAGAGGUGAGUGGAAUUCCUGGUGUAGCGGUGAAAUGCGUAGAUAUCAGGAGGAACACCUGUGGCGAAAGCGGCUCACUGGACCACAACUGACGCUGAGGCGCGAAAGCGUGGGGAGCGAACAGG
This 253-nucleotide ribosomal RNA is filed under the name uncultured bacterium. RNAcentral's name for it is "partial 16S ribosomal RNA". It matches the Rfam family "Bacterial small subunit ribosomal RNA", at positions 524 to 776 of the family's 1533-position model. The record is from RNAcentral.